Molecule: ribosomal RNA, 835 nt
Filed under: Ramichloridium punctatum
Lineage: Eukaryota; Fungi; Ascomycota; Dothideomycetes; Mycosphaerellales; Dissoconiaceae
Description: eukaryotic LSU rRNA
Rfam family: Eukaryotic large subunit ribosomal RNA
Source: RNAcentral
UAUCAAUAAGCGGAGGAAAAGAAACCAACAGGGAUUGCCCUAGUAACGGCGAGUGAAGCGGCAACAGCUCAAAUUUGAAAUCUGGCGCAAGCCCGAAUUGUAAUUUGUAGAGGAUGCUUCUGGGUAGCGGCCGGUCUAAGUUCCUUGGAACAGGACGUCACAGAGGGUGAGAAUCCCGUAUGUGAUCGGCCCGCGCCCUCUACGUAGCUCCUUCGACGAGUCGAGUUGUUUGGGAAUGCAGCUCUAAAUGGGAGGUAAAUUUCUUCUAAAGCUAAAUACCGGCCAGAGACCGAUAGCGCACAAGUAGAGUGAUCGAAAGAUGAAAAGCACUUUGGAAAGAGAGUUAAACAGCACGUGAAAUUGUUGAAAGGGAAGCGCUUGCAACCAGACUUGUCCGCGGUGUUCCGCCGGUCUUCUGACCGGUCUACUCGCCGCGGGCAGGCCAUCAUCGUCUGGGGCCGCCGGAGAAACCGUCAGGAAUGUAGCUCCCUCGGGAGUGUUAUAGCCUGGCGACAUGCGGCGCGCCCCGGGCGAGGUCCGCGCACUGCAAGGAUGAUGGCGUAAUGGUUGUCAGCGGCCCGUCUUGAAACACGGACCAAGGAGUCUAACAUCUAUGCGAGUGUUCGGGUGUCAAACCCCUACGCGCAAUGAAAGUGAACGGAGGUGGGAGCUUCGGCGCACCAUCGACCGAUCCUGAUGUCCUCGGAUGGAUUUGAGUAAGAGCAUAGCUGUUGGGACCCGAAAGAUGGUGAACUAUGCCUGAAUAGGGUGAAGCCAGAGGAAACUCUGGUGGAGGCUCGCAGCGGUUCUGACGUGCAAAUCGAUCGUCAAAUUU